UUAAUUAAGAGCAGACGUUUGGACCGUUGCCUCAAGCUAAUGGUAGAACACAUCAGUGAGCUGCCUAGAAAGUUUGUGUAUUUACUCUCUGUAUCUGUCGUUCUGACAAAUGAUUGGGUGAUAGGUUUUCUUUCACCAGAUGGCAGAUAAUCUGUUUCAGCUAAUGAAGACCUCUCUGCCCUGUUGUCUGUGCCUGAUGACGAUUGCCAUGGCGAUCGAAGGUGGAGUCACCUUACAACACACAUGUGCAGACCUGGAGUUUCCAGACCUAACAGACAGAGAACCUGUCCAUGUUUUACUCAACAGUUACAUCAACUUGACCUUUCACCUCAACACAUCUGACUGCGCAUACUUUCCAGAAAAGUAUUUUGUCAGGUUGUCAUUAAGUCAUGGCGAAUCAAAUGUACCCAUCUGCUACAUCGUUUACAAAAAUGAGAAUUGCAGCGGUACCGACCCCGAGAACUGUGGCUGUCUACCCGGUACUACAUACUCGGCUGUUGUGUACAGACAAUUCACUCAGUCCGGCCGCAGUGUCCUCAUCUGGAGUUUGAGCGACUCAAUUAGGGAGAAUCUGCAGAAGAAAAUAGAAAUCACAUUCUAUGUAGACAGUACUGGUACCUCUAGCCCCCACACGACGAGGGAAAAUCUUUCUUUUACUCGGACCACAGGAGAGCUGAGCAAACCAGACUUAACAUCAAGCACGAUAACUCCAAGUACAACGAGGAAUAUUACUUCCCCUGUCGACGAGACUGUCAAGGAAAGUUCAACUAGCUUUAAAACAACUUCUCCAAGGCUUGCCGACACUGGAAGCGAAGGCGACAACUUUCAAGUGAUUAUCUUUACAAGCAUUAUCACUCUCUUAGUCGUCGGCGUGCCUUUCGUCACAGCAAUGAUCAUUUAUGUUCAUAGAAUCAAAAAGAGAAUAAAAGGUAGGUGAGAGAUACUUCUUUCACAAUAACAAUUACGAUUUUUUCUUCAUAUUGUAUAAUCAACAUCGCAAGAAAAUAAAUUCUUUUAUAUCAUCGACAUACAUAGAACAUGAUCCAAUCAUGACUUCAUUGAAGUACACAAACACACAUUAAGAAUUUGUCGAUGAAAUUAUUCUUGAUGAAACAUUUGGCGGCAUCGUCGGAUUGGCUUGAGGUGAGUGGUUUGAAUUAUUUAUUUUCUUUGGUGUUGAGUUUAUUUGAAAUGCUUUGUUUAAUAUGUUUAUGAGUUAUCUACACUAGCAUAAACACUGCUCAGCACUUGUCACGGCGCCGAAUAAACAAAUGACACUAGAGUCAAGCACAAGAGAAAUAGUCUGAGAGGGAAAUAUUCAUGUAAUGCAGUUUAUAUUGUAAAUUAAUUUUUCUUUUAUGCUCUCUUUUAUGAGCAAAAGUUCUCGUGUCACGAUAUUCUGUAUAAAAAGCAGAUGUGAGGUUAAUCGUAUCACAUUGAGUAUGAAUGAGAGCAAUAGAUGUUUUAAUUGUUUUUUGACAAAACAGGACAUUUGAAGAAGAUGGAUUGAUAGUAGUCAAGCAGACGGAGUGAGGAAGCUGUCAAGGCAUGACAUCCAUGCUACUGUGAGGUGGACAAAGUGUUUAAGUGUUGCACGACACCCUGAAACGGGGAUCUGAAGGAGGUGUGCCCACGUGAUCACUCAGCAUAAGUAGAAAAAGCUUUCGGAGCAACAUAUUCGGGACUGUGAAAUAAAGACACAAAGAAAAGCUUUGACACUAAGAGCCUUUAUUUAUAAGUGAAGCGGAAACUGCAGUGUACAAGAUAAAAAUUUGACUCAUAGUAUGUGCAGGAAAAUAAGAACAGAUUUGUUUGUUAGGUCCUCAACAUCUACCGGGGUUUCAUCCGGUAAGAUGCCAGUGACACCCGAAUUAGCGAGUUUGCACGUUUACAUGUACAAAUAUGUAUAUACUUGGAUGAUUGUUUUGUGUAUAAUAUACACAUAUUAUGGUUAUUAUUGCUUAAGCCCGCUGAGCAAUAAUAAUAACUUAUAAGUAUACAUUUACUUGCAUUUUGGUUCUUCUGUUAUUAUUCAAAAUUUGCCAGCCAUCUAUGUCUCUCUCUCUCUCUUUCUCCAUGUAUGUAUGUAAUAUACUUUGUGUCACUUUUUUGGAAGAUAAUCCCAAAAUUUUUUCAGAAACUUCCAUGGUCAGAGUAAAACAUUAAAGUUAAAGAAGGAAGGUCUUGUACUUUUGUAAAAUGAUAUCGGCUACGACCACUUAAUUUCUUGCUAUAUAAAUACUUAAGAUGCUAUGUCACAGCAUAGAACAUAGGCUUUCUUAAAAUCUGUUAAAAGGGUCUAUUGUUUACUAAAGUUUCCCUAAAUCAAGUUUCAAUUUAAUGAAGGGCCCUCUUUAAGACUGGUAAAAAUGUCUCGUGGAAGUUCCUUCUCAAGGGAUUGGUUCAUUAGCAAAAUCUGGUUGAUCGUCAUUCAGUGUGUGCACAUGAGCCGGGUUCCUGGAGCACUCCACCAUCAACAGUGCGACCAGUAAAAAUUCGGAGGAAGAACAUUUUCUGACAGUUCCCUCCGGAAUAAGACGAACACUGGUGGGAAGCAGCAGCAAAGAAGAGGAGCUACAGCAGGAGUGUCAGCAGCAUAUAGCAGUGUAAGAAGUAGAGGUACAAGAAGAAUUAGGUGGAAGGAAAUUGAAUUGUGGUCUUGUACACCGAGUCAACAACUGAGGAUUCAUCACUAAAAACUUCCGUAGAAUGUAAACCGAUGAAUCUGAUAGAGAAAAGUAUACCACGACGACGAGAACGAUAAUAUCAUCGAUAAAUAUGGCAAUGGUGCUCGUAAGGAAGAAGACAACGACUAAGAAGAAAGCAAAAAUAAAAUAUUUUUACACGUUGUUCGUUACUUUGUUCAAAUUGUAAUCGUUUUAAAAUAAACCCCUCGCCUGUUCCGGUUACCAUGCACGCCCGAGCAGCUGCUAGAAGAGCAGUCACGUGGUCACGAAGCUCCUCCCCCAGUGGGCGUGUCUUUGUUGCCCAGUACUACAUGAGAAGACUUCGAGUUUGUUGUCCUGUCCGAAACUAAUUGUAGCCGUGGUUUGUGGGCACACUGGUGAUAUUUUACAACCUUUCUGCACACUACGUUGUCACUGCUGUCUCAGAGAACGAAUAUUUUAGCAGUUGUUGUUGUAGUUGUAGGAGGAGAAAGAGGAAGAACUACUUCAACUAGCCGCUGGUGUUUUAUUCCUUUAGAAACCACGCCGAGAUAACUCAGCCUUAUAAACUGGUGUCACAUCUUCACAUACAAGUAGAGAAGAAGGAGUAGUGAAAGUUGAAAAAAAAAGGAAAAGGAGAGAAAAAAGAAAGACAGGAAGGAAAAAGUAAAAAGGGAAGAAAAAAAAAAGGAAAAAAAGAAGUACUGAUUGAUUAUUUUUUGGUAAUUUUGUUUUUUGUGUUCAAUCAAACUAAAUUCCGAGUUGUGAUUUUACAGAUCAUCGAUAAUAUCCUCAAAAAAAAAAAAAAUGGUCGAGUGUCUGGCUUAUGGCGUGUCUCUAAUGAUGAUCGCCCUGAUGACCUGUGGAUCUCUCGCUUCUGAUGAGAAUUGCGCAUACAUGGAAUUUGAAGGCCUGACUCAAGAAGAAACUCUCAGAGUCGAACACAACACUUAUGUCAAUAUGACCUUUAACCUCAACACAUCCAAGUGUCCGGAAGAUCGAAAAGUAUUCCGUAUAAGGGUGUCCGUUAGUGUAGGCCACUCGAGUGUCAUAGUGUGUGUGGUUCUCAUCGAGAACACGACCUGCAGUAUAACGGAUGAUUCCCAGGACUGUCACUGUUUACCCGACACUAAAGGCUGGGUGCGCAUGUUCCAACUUAUGAACGAGACGGGCUUAGUGUCGUGUACCUGGAGGUGGAGAGAGCUGACAUCAUCUGAGAUCGACAAAAAAACAAGCAUCGACUUUGAAGUCUUUAGUACAGCUUCCACUACUGAACCUUCCUCUACACCGACUGACGGAGGAGUGGACAAACCAGAAGUGAAGUCAGGUACAGUAACUACAACAACGACAGCGAGAACGACUCCCCCUGGUGACGAACCCCAAAACGAGAGCGACAACUUUCAAGUGAUUUUGUUUACAAGUGUUAUCACUGCCUCAGUCAUCGGCGUGCCCGUAGUCACAGGAAUCAUCAUUUAUGUUUAUAGAGCCAAAAAGAGGAGGAAAGGUAGGAAGAGGUUAUCACUUUUCAGACAUUCCACAUACUUGGCGAAUAACAAUCAGCAUACAAACCUCAUCAACAUACACAGAAAAUAUCAGUAACAUGACGUCACUAAAGUACAUGGACACGUUUACUGAAAACCUACUCCUACCUUUAGUUUCUCACUGUAGCGUGUACAGAGAGUGAGCUCGCAUGAGAUAUCAGUGACUACGAGAAGUAUUGAAGCCUAAUCGGCUUAAUCCGUGGAUCUUUACAAUUUUCUGAACAAGUAUCACUGACUGGAAGUAGGUACGUGGACAUUUUUUUAAAAAUUUGAUGUCUAACUUUUUGUGUACAUUCAAAAUUUUUUAAUUAAAAAUGAUUUGUUGCAUUACUUACACUGAUACAAACGAAGUCUAGACAUGUCUUAGUUCCUAGAAAUAAUGAGCAAGAUAAUGGACAAGUUUUGUUUAUUAAGUGAAAUUGUAUGUGUAUAAUUGGUCAGCUACAUGUUUGUAGAUGAUGUAGGUAUGUUUAUAUACUUUGUUUUAGCUGUAGGUUAACUUUUGAUCAUAUUAAUUGCGUAUAAUGAGCUCGAUUAUAAUAUUGGGGUUCUCUCUCCACAAGAUAUUUAUUUAAAAAUAAUAUUUGAGCUUUUUUUGCAUUGCGUUAAUAAAAUGAAUAAAAUGAUGCUAUUGAAACUGUCUCUAUGUACAGGAAGAUAUCUGUAGAGACUGGUUUGACAGCAGCGACGGAACGAGGAAGCAUUGACCAUUAAUUAUACUAAUGUGAUUAAGACAAGGCGAUAAAUCCUACACAUCCCCCUGAUGCAGCAGAAAUGGCCGUCUGGUAUGACAGACUUCUACUUGGACUGCAAAACCGAGACACAGAGAGAGCAGAGCAUUUAUUUACAUGCGGAAAAGAUAAAGACAAAGAUCUGUUGUCAAUCGUCUUAACAUCAGUCCGCCAUGCCUUGCACACAGCAAUUAUAAUCCGCGUGCAGCUGGAAUAAGAACAAGUGAAUAGAUGUUGAAUACUUGUAGUACAUAUGUGUGUAUAG
Long non-coding RNA from Pomacea canaliculata, 5203 nucleotides. RefSeq lists it as uncharacterized. The record is from RefSeq and is a predicted model, not a curated record. The transcript is spliced from 5 exons. Lineage: Eukaryota; Metazoa; Mollusca; Gastropoda; Architaenioglossa; Ampullariidae.